This 253-nucleotide ribosomal RNA is filed under the name uncultured bacterium. RNAcentral's name for it is "partial 16S ribosomal RNA". It matches the Rfam family "Bacterial small subunit ribosomal RNA", at positions 524 to 776 of the family's 1533-position model. The record is from RNAcentral.
UACGGAGGGUGCAAGCAUUAAUCGGAUUUAUUGGGCGUAAAGGGCGUGUAGGUGGGGAGGUAAGUCAGGUGUAAAAGACCGAAGCUCAACUUCGGAAUUGCACUUGAAACUGCUUCUCUUGAGGGUGGGCGGGGGAAACGGAAUUCCACGUGUAGCGGUGAAAUGCGUAGAUAUGUGGAGGAACACCGGUGGCGAAGGCGGUUUUCUAGCUUACAACUGACACUGAGGCGCGAAAGCUAGGGGAGCGAACAGG